UAGGAUUAGAUACCCUAUUAUUAUAAAUAUAGUUUGUUAGCUUAAUUAGUAUUAGAUAAGUUCUUGAAAAUUAAAAAUUUUGGCGGUAUUUUAGUCUUUUCAGAGGAACCUGCCCUAUAAUCGAUAACCCACGAUUAAUUGAACUUAUUUUAAAUAGUUUAUAUACCGUUGUAGUGGAGUAUUUUAUGAGAAGUUAAAUAUUCUAAAUUUAUUAUAUUAUAAUAAAUCAAAUCAAGGCAUAGCUUAUAAAUAAGAAGAGGUGGGUUACAAUAAAAUUAUUUAUUANGGAAAUUUAAAAUGUAAUUAUAAUAUUGAAGGUGGAUUUGAAAGUAAUAA
This 336-nucleotide ribosomal RNA is filed under the name Anacaena limbata. RNAcentral describes it as "partial 12S ribosomal RNA". Lineage: Eukaryota; Metazoa; Arthropoda; Insecta; Coleoptera; Hydrophilidae. The record is from RNAcentral.